This 69-nucleotide transfer RNA is filed under the name Ictidomys tridecemlineatus (thirteen-lined ground squirrel). RNAcentral describes it as "Spermophilus tridecemlineatus (thirteen-lined ground squirrel) tRNA". It matches the Rfam family "tRNA". From Rfam's summary of the family: Transfer RNA (tRNA) molecules are approximately 80 nucleotides in length. Their secondary structure includes four short double-helical elements and three loops (D, anti-codon, and T loops). Lineage: Eukaryota; Metazoa; Chordata; Mammalia; Rodentia; Sciuridae. The record is from Rfam by way of RNAcentral.
GGAGUUGUAGCUCAGCGGUAGAGCACUCACCUAGCACGUGUGAGGCCUUGGGUUCCAUCCUCAGCACCA